GAGGUUGUGGCUCAGUGAUAGAGUGCUUGCCUGGCAUGUGUGAGGCAUUGGGUUUGAUCCCCAGAACCACA
RNAcentral lists this transfer RNA (71 nucleotides) under Marmota monax (woodchuck). RNAcentral describes it as "tRNA.Ala". The record is from RNAcentral. Lineage: Eukaryota; Metazoa; Chordata; Mammalia; Rodentia; Sciuridae.